Amphiprion ocellaris (clown anemonefish) is the source of this 911-nucleotide long non-coding RNA. The record is from Ensembl. Lineage: Eukaryota; Metazoa; Chordata; Actinopteri; Pomacentridae.
CAUCUCAGGUAAUACUGCAGUACUACUUCAGUACUACAGUAAUACUCACUUCGUCUCAGGUAGUACUUCAUCUCAGGUAAUACUGCAGUACUACUGUAGUACUUCAUCUCAAGUAAUGCUGCAGUACUACUGUAGUACUACUGUAAUACUCACUUCAUCUCAGGUAAUACUGCAGUACUACUGUAGUCCUUCAUCUCAAGUAAUACUGCAGUACUUUAGUACUACAGUAGUACCCACUUCAUCUCAGGUAAUACUGCAGUACUACUGUAGUGCUCACUUCAUCUCAGGUAAUACUGCAGUACUACUGCAGCACUACUGUAGUACUCACUUCAUCUCAGGUAAUACCGCGGUACUACUGUAGUACUCACUUCAUCUCAGGUAAUACUGCUGUACUACUGCAGUACUACUGUAGUACUCACUUCAUCUCAGGUAAUACCGCGGUACUACUGUAGUACUCACUUCAUCUCAGGUAAUACUGCAGUACUACUGUAGUACUUCAUCUCAGAUAAUACUGUAGUACUACUGUAGUACUCACUUCAUCUCAGGUAAUACUGUAGUACUACUAUAGUACUCACUUCAUCUCUGGUAAUACUGCAGUACUACUGUAUUACUAACUUUAUUUCAGGUAAUACUGCAGUACUACUGUGGUACUACUGUAGUACUCACUUCAUCUCUGGUAAUACUGCAGUAAUACUGUAGUACUCAUUUCAUCUCAGGUAAUACUGUAGUAGUACAGUAGUACUCACUUCAUCUCAGGUCUUACUGCAGUAUUACUGUAGUACUUCAUCUCAGGUAAUACUGCAGUACUAUUGUAGUACUACUGUAGUACUCACUUCAUCUCAGGUAAUACCGCGGUACUACUGUAGUACUCACUUCAUCUCAGGUAAUACUGCAGUACUACUGUAGUACUC